GGCCUUUGAAAGGGGAAGGUCUGUCUCCAGAGCAGGGUAGGUAGCACCAGGAACCACACAGUGCUGGGCAGGCCUGAUGGAGCAGAAGGAUUCCUUUUAGGUUUUCAGGUCAUUGAAGAGUUCCUGAUGGAGCAUGUUGGCCUGUUACUACCCUUCCUAGCUUUCCUUUGAAACAAGGACCUUUGCUGUGAUUAAACACUUGAGACCCCAUUGAUAUGCAGAGCUGAAAGUGGAAAGGUGCAUUAUUGUAUUAUCCUGCCUCCUUGGCAUGAUCUCUGACUGAGUUGCUGAGUCAGAUCCAGCAUGAAGCUGGGAGGUAGUCACUUUAGGCACUAGCCAGUUUCAGAGGCUUUCAACCUCCAUAAGAAGCCAUCUUGAGAUGUUCCUUUCCUUUGAGAGGUUCCCAUGUCUCUCUCCCAGGAGUCUGCCUAGGAUCCCUUGUAAUGGUGUCAGCUCUAAUUGGCUUUUACUGGCUUUUUGCUGUCCUGUGUCAGCCAGCAGAAGUGAAAUAAAACAUAUUGAAGCUGGCUGGACCCAUUUCAGUCCAUGCCUUCCCCCUGUGGCCCAACAACUUGCACAGAUGCCUACAGAAAGAUUGCAAAACAUUUUUUCUCAAGGCAACUGAUGUGUUCCCCUUUUAUUUCCUGCUGGGGAGACAUUUUGCCAGCAUAAGUGAUUCCCCCCCUUCCUUUUAAAAACCCUUUGAUUUUUGUUUUGUUUUCUUGCUCUCCAUCCCCACAAUUACAAAGCCUAAAGUCUGGGCGUAACAACUUUGCUUUUCCCAGCUGACAUGAUUUAACCUCUUGCAAUGGAGAUCAGCACAAGCCAAUAUUCUGAACCAAGGUGUCAGCAGAACACCUAAUGAUAUUCUGAGGUGCAGUGGAGGGGACAACAUGCUCAAAUGUGGAGUAUGAUCAACAUACCAGAGUCUUUAACACAAUCUGAGAAGCAGCUGUACAAGCCAAAGGGGUGGGGGGGAAAUCCCAUAAAUAUAAAGGGAAG
Molecule: long non-coding RNA, 1002 nt
Organism: Mauremys mutica (yellowpond turtle)
Lineage: Eukaryota; Metazoa; Chordata; Testudines; Geoemydidae
Exons: 3
Source: RefSeq, a predicted model, not a curated record